This 354-nucleotide unclassified non-coding RNA is filed under the name uncultured fungus. Its description in RNAcentral is "partial contains small subunit ribosomal RNA, internal transcribed spacer 1, and 5.8S ribosomal RNA". The stretch from base 1 to 73 matches the Rfam family "Eukaryotic small subunit ribosomal RNA", at positions 1759 to 1831 of the family's 1831-position model. The record is from RNAcentral. Lineage: Eukaryota; Fungi.
GCAAACUUGGUCAUUUAGAGGAAGUAAAAGUCGUAACAAGGUUUCCGUAGGUGAACCUGCGGAAGGAUCAUUAAUGAAUAACCUUGUUAGGUUGUUGCUGGCUCUAAUGGAGCAUGUGCACGCCUGACAUCAGUUUUUCAAACCCCUGUGCACUUUUUGUAGGCCUUAGAUGACUUUUGGGGGGGGGGGGCUCGCUUCAUGUAAAGCUGCUCUCUCUCCCGUUGUCUAUAGUCUAUGUCUCUAUAUACACCGAAUGUAUGUACUGGAAUGUCUUUUAAAGGCCUUGGUGCCUAUAAAUCUAAUACAACUUUCAACAACGGAUCUCUUGGCUCUCGCAUCGAUGAAGAACGCAGC